AAACAACUCUCGGCAACGGAUAUCCCGGCUCUCGCAUCGAUGAAGAACGUAGCGAAAUGCGAUACUUGGUGUGAAUUGCAGAAUCCCGUGAACCAUCGAGUCUUUGAACGCAAGUUGCGCCUGAGGCCAUUAGGCCAAGGGCACGUCUGCCUGGGUGUCACGC
Molecule: ribosomal RNA, 163 nt
Filed under: Oenanthe linearis subsp. linearis
Lineage: Eukaryota; Viridiplantae; Streptophyta; Magnoliopsida; Apiales; Apiaceae
Description: 5.8S ribosomal RNA
Rfam family: 5.8S ribosomal RNA
About the family: 5.8S ribosomal RNA (5.8S rRNA) is a component of the large subunit of the eukaryotic ribosome. It is transcribed by RNA polymerase I as part of the 45S precursor that also contains 18S and 28S rRNA.
Source: RNAcentral